GCCGACUUAGCUCUGUAGGCAGAGUAACUGACUUGUAAUCAGUAGGUCACCAAGUUCGUUUCCGGUAGUCGGCA
Molecule: transfer RNA, 74 nt
Filed under: Klebsiella aerogenes
Lineage: Bacteria; Pseudomonadati; Pseudomonadota; Gammaproteobacteria; Enterobacterales; Enterobacteriaceae
Description: tRNA-Thr
Rfam family: tRNA
About the family: Transfer RNA (tRNA) molecules are approximately 80 nucleotides in length. Their secondary structure includes four short double-helical elements and three loops (D, anti-codon, and T loops).
Source: RNAcentral